GGCGGGCUACUCAGCGCGGGGGCUGAACCCUGCCAAGACUAACCCCGUCCGCCUGCGGUCCCCAGAGCUGCACUCACUGCCGGAGCCCGGGACGUGGGGCCCCGGGGGAGGAGGGCGAAGGGACUGAGCGAUGGCUCCGCGGGGACUCCCGGGGUCCGCCGUGCUCGCCGCUGCUGUCUUCGUGGGAGGAGCCGUGAGUUCGCCACUAGCCGCCUCGGAUCAUAGUGGCAGCCACCCGUUACCCUACAAAACCGAGACGACGCCCUCACCCACGAACAACAAUGGGAAUGGACACCCGGAAUACAUCGCAUAUGCCCUUGUCCCUGUGUUCUUCGUCAUGGGUCUCUUUGGCGUCCUCAUUUGCCACCUGCUUAAGAAGAAAGGCUAUCGAUGUACAACAGAAGCUGAGCAAGACGUUGAAGGAGAAAAGGUUGAAAAGAUAGAGUUGAACGACAGUGUAAAUGAAAACAGUGACACCGUUGGGCAGAUUGUCCAAUACAUCAUGAAAAACGAAGCAAAUGUUGACGUUUUAGCAGCAAUGGUGGAAGAUAACAGCGUGUGUGAUCCUGAAAGCCCAGUGACGCCGAGCACUCCUGGGAGCCCACCGGUGAGCCCCGGGCCCUUGUCACCAGGGCUCACCCCCGGGAAGCAUACCUGCGGCCACCAUCUGCACACAGUGGGGGGUCCCGUCGAGCGGGACGUGUGUCAUCGGUGUAGGCACAAGCGGUGGCACUUCAUAAAACCCACCAACAAGUCCAAAGAGGGCCGCCCGAGGCGCCAAGGAGAGGUCACCGUCCUCUCUGUGGGCAGGUGGAUUUUUAGUUCAUUCAUGGUUCUUGUUCAGUGGAAAAGCAAAACCCAUCACAUCUCCUCUUCCCCCUGCUCCACCCGCUCAGGUUUAGAGUUACAAAAGUGGAACCCAAGUCCAAUCAGAAGGAGCGGAGAAGUUUGAUGUCAGUUAGUGGGACCGACGGUGUCAAUGGGGAGGUGCCAGUGACGCCUGUGAAGAGACAGCAAAGUGACUCAGAGUAGCAGGUAUGACUAUAUGUGAAGAGUUCUAAAAGACUAAGAACUUAAAACAUGUGAAGUUGCCUAGGGAAUUAUUUUUUAUCUUUUAUACAGUUUCUAUGGUAGAGUCUACAGGCAAGUGGAUGAAAGCUAAAAGGGAAUACUGUUGCUAUGCUGGAUACAGAAUUCAGUUUGCUUUGAAACAAAUUUUGGUUUAAAAAAUGUCUGAUGAAAAAUUUUAUUCCUUAUCCAAGGAGGAAAAGAGCUCAUUUUUUUAAUCUUCCCAACCACUAUCCCUCCCAGUUCCCCAUCCGUGGCCUUGGUGUGCACACUGCCAUUUCUCCAGUACGCUCACUACGUACAGUGGAACUAUUUGUGUACGGUCUGAGCUAAUGCUCAGAGUGUGUGUGUGUGCACGCGUGUGUGUACACGUCUGUGUACCUGUGCUUCUGUUCCCCCAACCCUUGGAUCUCAUUUUGUUACUGGUUGUAAGAUGAUCCUCUUACAGUUUAACUGUAAUAAAAAAUAAAAGAUGCAUCUUCGCUGGUGAAGGCUCCUUGAAGAUAGUCUAGCCCUGGGUACUUGAUCCCCCCACCAAGAGAUUACGGAGCUGGAGGGAACCAGAUGCUAGACUUUGGAUUCGGAGACCAGAAAUCAGCACCGACCUGCUGCCAGCAUGCCCCUCCUGGGCCACUCGUAAAAUACUGAGUUGUUGUUUUUUUUUUAAACUCAAGCUAAGCAAAUCUUAUUUAGCCAUUGGAUAAGGGGGAAAAUGGUUUAAAGUCACUAGAAAAUGGUUUAAAGUCACUAUAAAAAAGCCUUGUUUUGAUAACCCAAGACCAAGACAAAACAAUCUCCACUUCUGAUGUAAGAUGGGCCCGCACCUUCCUCUGGUAUGUUUUCCUUGGUGUUCUUCCUGUUCUCCAUCUUGUAACUAGUGCCUGUUUUUAAAGGGUUCUUGAAGGUUACUUUCUCCUGUAGGCCUGGAAUACCCCACUUUUUAAAAAAAGAGCUGUACAGUUUAUAGAACACCUGAAAGAACCCAGAGGUGAAGGAAGUGGUAUAUUUAUGGUAGGUCUGGGCCAAGAGGAAAGGAGUCCAGUGCAGGGACUUCUCCAAGACCUGCCUCCUGUCAGUAUUGCUGUGGUGCCUUGGGGCACUUCCUUUAUUGCAAAAAGAAAACACAGUUCUCAUUUAUCUCAAAAGGUAAUUCUUAUGAAAAUGUACUUUAAAGUAUUUACUGUAAAUAUACUCAUUCCAUUCUUUUUCUGGCACCAGACUAAAAAUUUCUAACCUUUUAAGUGAAUGGUAUGUUCAAUUUCAUGUGAAUUUUUGCUGACAACUAAUUAAAAGGUGUACGUGUGCAUGCAUAUUCCCAGUGGACCAGGAGAAGGCAAUAUGGAAACAAAUUUCACUGUGCUCCCAAAAGUAGCAAUAUAAGAAUUUGAGGGGUGGGGUGGUGUGCAUUAGUAUAAAUAAUAUAUAUGCAGUCUAGACCAGUAGUUUUAUAAAAAGGAAUCAUUUUUUGUUUUAAAAAUAUCAUGCCCUCAAAAUGAUGAGGGAUAAAGUGUAAGAUAUUCUUCAGCUUUAAUUAUUUUUUAAUUUUAUUCAGGUCAGAGCACUUUUUUAAAUAGCAAUACAACAGACAAGAAAAUACUCAAAAUAUUUAAAAUUGUAUUUAUACCAAGAGUCCAUAUGUUUUAAAUAUUUUCUAAUACUUGAGCAGUUGCUGUCUGACUGGCUUCCAAAUAUGCCAAGAGUUAAGCAUAAUAUUUUCAACAUACGUGCUUUUUACUGGUUUAUAUUAUCUAAUAAUAAUCCUUAAGUGUCUCCAGUGCAACUGAUGUUUACAGGUCUUUUGUGUUUUUCCUCCUUCUUUAGAAGGCUUGGGGAGCCACAACAAAGUUACUGUAUAAAACACUAAUGAUGGACUAACUUCUGAUGUAAUAAAUGAGUUGGCUACCACCUCGAUGUAAAAAUUUGUAAAGGGAAUUUUUCACCAUUUUGAGUGUUAAAUGUAUUUUUAACUGUCUGGUUUGUACUUCUACAACUUUUGUACUACCAAAGAAGAGUUAAAAAUAAAAAUGUUAAACACA
Molecule: RNA transcript, 3104 nt
Organism: Bubalus bubalis (water buffalo)
Lineage: Eukaryota; Metazoa; Chordata; Mammalia; Artiodactyla; Bovidae
Gene: RELL1
Gene name: RELT like 1
Exons: 7
Source: RefSeq, a predicted model, not a curated record